AUUGAACGCUGGCGGAAUGCUUUACACAUGCAAGUCGACCGGUAGAGGGGGCAACCCCUCGAGAGUGGCGAACGGGUGAGUAAUAUAUCGGAACGUGCCCAGUCGUGGGGGAUAACGUAGCGAAAGCUACGCUAAUACCGCAUACGAUCUAUGGAUGAAAGCGGGGGAUCGCAAGACCUCGCGCGAUUUGAGCGGCCGAUAUCAGAUUAGGUAGUUGGUGGGGUAAAGGCCCACCAAGCCAACGAUCUGUAGCUGGUCUGAGCGGACGACCAGCCACACUGGAACUGAGACACGGUCCAGACUCCUACGGGAGGCAGCAGUGGGGAAUUUUGGACAAUGGGCGAAAGCCUGAUCCAGCCAUUCCGCGUGCAGGAUGAAGGCCCUCGGGUUGUAAACUGCUUUUGUACAGAACGAAAAGGUUUCUACUAAUACUAGGAGCUCAUGACGGUACUGUAAGAAUAAGCACCGGCUAACUACGUGCCAGCCGCCGCCGUAA
Molecule: ribosomal RNA, 496 nt
Filed under: uncultured bacterium
Lineage: Bacteria
Description: partial 16S ribosomal RNA
Rfam family: Bacterial small subunit ribosomal RNA
Source: RNAcentral